GAUGAACGCUGGCGGCGUGCCUAAUACAUGCAAGUCGAGCGAACGGACGAGAAGCUUGCUUCUCUGAUGUUAGCGGCGGACGGGUGAGUAACACGUGGAUAACCUACCUAUAAGACUGGGAUAACUUCGGGAAACCGUAGCUAAUACCGGAUAAUAUUUUGAACCGCAUGGUUCAAAAGUGAAAGACGGUCUUGCUGUCACUUAUAGAUGGAUCCGCGCUGCAUUAGCUAGUUGGUAAGGUAACGGCUUACCAAGGCAACGAUGCAUAGCCGACCUGAGAGGGGGAUCGGCCACACUGGAACUGGGGCACGGUCCAGACUCCUACGGGAGGCAGCAGUAGGGAAUCUUCCGCAAUGGGCGAAAGCCUGACGGAGCAACGCCGCGUGAGUGAUGAAGGUCUUCGGAUCGUAAAACUCUGUUAUUAGGGAAGAACAUAUGUGUAAGUAACUGUGCACAUCUUGACGGUACCUAAUCAGAAAGCCACGGCUAACUACGUG
This 497-nucleotide ribosomal RNA is filed under the name uncultured bacterium. RNAcentral's name for it is "partial 16S ribosomal RNA". It matches the Rfam family "Bacterial small subunit ribosomal RNA", at positions 28 to 507 of the family's 1533-position model. The record is from RNAcentral.